This is a non-coding RNA of Caenorhabditis elegans, 52 nucleotides long. The record is from Ensembl. Lineage: Eukaryota; Metazoa; Nematoda; Chromadorea; Rhabditida; Rhabditidae.
UUAGGCUCAGGCUAGGCUUAGGCUUAGGCUUAGGCUUAGGCUUAGGCAUAGG